CCUACGGGGUGCAGCAGUGAGGAAUAUUGGUCAAUGGACGAGAGUCUGAACCAGCCAAGUAGCGUGAAGGAUGACUGCCCUAUGGGUUGUAAACUUCUUUUAUAUGGGAAUAAAAUGUUCCACGUGUGGGGUUUUGUAUGUACCAUAUGAAUAAGGAUCGGCUAACUCCGUGCCAGCAGCCGCGGUAAUACGGAGGAUCCGAGCGUUAUCCGGAUUUACUGGGUUUAAAGGGAGCGUAGGUGGAUUGGUAAGUCAGUUGUGAAAGUUUGCGGCUCAACCGUAAAAUUGCAGAUGAAACUGGCAGUCUUGAGUACAGUAGAGGUGGGCGGAAUUCGUGGUGUAGCGGUGAAAUGCUUAGAUAUCACGAAGAACUCCGAUGGCGAAGGCAGCUCACUGGACUGCAACUGACACUGAGGCUCGAAAGUGUGGGUAUCAAACAGGAUUAGAUACCCUGGUAGUC
RNAcentral lists this ribosomal RNA (460 nucleotides) under uncultured bacterium. Its description in RNAcentral is "partial 16S ribosomal RNA". It matches the Rfam family "Bacterial small subunit ribosomal RNA", at positions 338 to 795 of the family's 1533-position model. The record is from RNAcentral.